CAUUCCCUGCCAAUUGUGCCUUCUUGGGGCGCCCGGCCCCCCAUCCUUGGAGAAGGGGCUCUGUCCCAUCUCCUGCUUCUUGACUGUAUGUCCUAUGUGCCGGGGACUGAAAGUGUUGCCUCACCUCCACCCACAGCCCACUCAGGAAGCUCCUGGAAUCCCUGCCAUCCCUGCAGCCCCCAAGGAUUCAUGGGUAACAGGCUUCUGGGGGUUCCCAACAUGAUAAGUUAUUAAGGUUUCUCAGCCUCCCUCUCAGUAAAGGAGGGUUUGUAACUCAGGAGUCUCUGUAUCAUCUCUCACUUCCCUGUUGACCCCAGCCCACCUUCUGCCACCCAGAGUAGAGGGGAAACUGAUACGCUUCAGAAAGGAAGAGAGAGGAAGCAGAGUGUUAGGGUUGUGGGGACCUGGCAGCUUCCCCAGGUGCCACUUCUCACCCCUCGAGCUUCUCUCUUGUUUGAGCUGGGAACGUGUGAAACGGCAAGGAAGAAAUCAGGCUUAUUCCUGACCCUCUGCUCUCUUGGGGCAAAGCUGCAGGGACAGUGCUAGGGAAGGAAGUCCCAGUGAGGAAUGCCAGUGGAGCUUGCCUGUGGCAACUUGAACAAAAGUUUUAGUCAGGCAGGAUCGGGAGUGGGGAAUCUCUGGAGGGUGAUCCCCUGGAAGUUUUCUGCAACAGGAGUGUGGAGAAGCAGGAGAGAGGCCUCCCAAAAGCAGGACUUACUUCGAACCUCUAAGCCUGGUGGAGAUGACCUGAAUCAGAGAGUCACCAGGUGUGAGCCACCAACACCUGGCUGGCAAAAUAUUUUAAGCUGCCUGGGCAUGGAACAGAGGCACCUAUGUGGGGAGUGGCAGAGUCAGACUUCCUAAAAGAGUGACAUUCCCUCACAAUACUCCCACAGGCCUCUUGGCAGUACUGGGAAGGCCCUAGUGAUGGUGAGGACAGAUGAGGGUGUGUCUCAACUCCGAGGGUCCUAAAGCCCUCCUCUCUGAAGCAUCCCUCUUCCCUUCCCCCAGGCCUAAGCUGCUUCUUAGAGAAGAGACCCUUCUGAAGGUUCUGGACCUCAGAGACCUGGCUCUAGUGACUAAA
RNAcentral lists this long non-coding RNA (1084 nucleotides) under Castor canadensis (American beaver). RNAcentral's name for it is "lncRNA (ENSCCNG00000020708.1)". The record is from RNAcentral. Lineage: Eukaryota; Metazoa; Chordata; Mammalia; Rodentia; Castoridae.